This is a long non-coding RNA of Arabidopsis thaliana (thale cress), 535 nucleotides long. RefSeq annotates it as other RNA. The transcript has a single exon. NCBI's taxonomy places the organism in Eukaryota, Viridiplantae, Streptophyta, Magnoliopsida, Brassicales, Brassicaceae. The record is from RefSeq.
AGUAGAAAAUCUUCUUACUAGAAGAAGAAUUCAGCUUGGACCACCCGGCAGCAAACACGCUCGUUCCAGGCUAGGCCAUUCAUUAUUGUCGCAGACCAUGACUGGAUGAGAGACCGAGCCAUUGCUUACUCAGAAGAGCUAAGGAAAGUUAAUGUAGAUAAUCUCGUGCGGCCGUGCUAGUGUACAAAGAUGCGGUUCACGAGUUUGCUACCCUCAACAUGUUUCGUAGGACUCGACAAGCUCAGGCUUGUCCAGAAGACAUUGCAAUCUGGGCCAAGAAAUACAUCUCUCUCCAUGGCCACGAGUUCUCAUACUAGUGUUUUGAAACUCCAUGUGGCAAAAAAGGUCAACCAAAAGUAAACCGUGUUUUUACGGGAGACAAAGCAAAAGAACACAUGCAGACCGAAAAGAUUGAUAUCAUCGUUGCAAUCAUCGUAUCAUGUGAUUUGUCUCUUCUAUUUAGAGUUCAAGCUUCUGUUGUAUAUCAUCGUAUCGAGUAACGUCCAUUUUGAUUAACCCAACCAAACCAAAUGCA